GGAGACGUGGCCGAGAGGCUGAAGGCGGCGGUUUGCUAAACCGUUAUACGCUAUAAAGGCGUAUCGAGGGUUCGAAUCCCUCCGUCUCCGCCA
This 93-nucleotide transfer RNA is filed under the name Hyphomicrobium sp. Its description in RNAcentral is "tRNA-Ser". It matches the Rfam family "tRNA". From Rfam's summary of the family: Transfer RNA (tRNA) molecules are approximately 80 nucleotides in length. Lineage: Bacteria; Pseudomonadati; Pseudomonadota; Alphaproteobacteria; Hyphomicrobiales; Hyphomicrobiaceae. The record is from RNAcentral. RNAcentral also lists the same sequence under 1 other name.